AUUAUAGUGGUAUAGUGGUUCAGCAGGUAGCAUUGCUGAAUUACUGCUACAGCAUCCUCAGUUCAAUCCUGAGCUUGAUUA
Non-coding RNA from Pangasianodon gigas (Mekong giant catfish), 81 nucleotides. The record is from the annotation of a GenBank genome assembly. NCBI's taxonomy places the organism in Eukaryota, Metazoa, Chordata, Actinopteri, Siluriformes, Pangasiidae.